CUUUCAGAACUUCUGUAAUAAGAUCUUCUAAUCCAAUGGUAUUAUUUUGCUCUGUAUGCAAAUAUUUCCUGAGCUUAGGGUAUUAACUUCAGAUAUUUCCAGUAUUUAUAGAAAUACUUGGUUCCUUUUAUUUGUAUUUUAGUACCACAAACCUGCCAUCUUCAGUAGUUCAUUUAAAUUUUUCCAGAUAAUCAGAGCUUAUACCCUUAUUAACCUGUUUGUUUUUGUUUUAAUCAUAUUUUGACUGUUGAAAUGUCCUAUAAUUCAUAUACAUAUAGAUUUUGUUUGUGUAUAUAUAACACACAUACAGAGACACAAGAAUGUAUAUUUUCCUGCCUUUAUCAAAGAAAUAUUUAUAAGUUAUUGAAUAGUGCUGGUAUUGUUAAACUUUAAAUGGUUGAGUUUCAGGACUUUGCCAUUCUGUAAGAAAAGAAUUUAAAAUGAACUUUGAUGGUUAUCAACUAUUUUUCACAUCUACAAUUUAAUUAUAUAGCUAUUGAUAAAGGCAUAAAGGAUGAAAUUAUUUUAAAAAGUAAAUUUAAGAAGAAAAAACUAGGCUUUCAUUUUUUAUACUGUAAUGGUUUUAACAUGCUAUAAAAACAGACAUGAGCAAAUAACACUCAUUUUAUAGAGCUGUUUUUUCAAAUUACGGAAGUAUUUACAGGUUUUAGAAAAUGGAUAUGUCAGGAAGUAAAAUGGAAA
RNAcentral lists this long non-coding RNA (702 nucleotides) under Bos taurus (domestic cattle). RNAcentral describes it as "long non-coding RNA NONBTAT025616". Lineage: Eukaryota; Metazoa; Chordata; Mammalia; Artiodactyla; Bovidae. The record is from RNAcentral.